RNAcentral lists this ribosomal RNA (297 nucleotides) under Escherichia coli. Its description in RNAcentral is "partial 23S ribosomal RNA". It matches the Rfam family "Bacterial large subunit ribosomal RNA", at positions 606 to 905 of the family's 2925-position model. Lineage: Bacteria; Pseudomonadati; Pseudomonadota; Gammaproteobacteria; Enterobacterales; Enterobacteriaceae. The record is from RNAcentral.
UUUUGUAUAAUGGGUCAGCGACUUAUAUUCUGUAGCAAGGUUAACCGAAUAGGGGAGCCGAAGGGAAACCGAGUCUUAACUGGGCGUUAAGUUGCAGGGUAUAGACCCGAAACCCGGUGAUCUAGCCAUGGGCAGGUUGAAGGUUGGGUAACACUAACUGGAGGACCGAACCGACUAAUGUUGAAAAAUUAGCGGAUGACUUGUGGCUGGGGGUGAAAGGCCAAUCAAACCGGGAGAUAGCUGGUUCUCCCCGAAAGCUAUUUAGGUAGCGCCUCGUGAAUUCAUCUCCGGGGGUAG